GGUUGUAGCUCAGUGGUAGAGUGCUUGCCUAGCAUGUGUGAGGCACUGGAUUCGAUUCUCAGCACCA
Molecule: transfer RNA, 67 nt
Filed under: Marmota monax (woodchuck)
Lineage: Eukaryota; Metazoa; Chordata; Mammalia; Rodentia; Sciuridae
Description: tRNA.Ala
Source: RNAcentral